UACGGGGGGGGCAAGCGUUGUUCGGAAUUACUGGGCGUAAAGGGCUCGUAGGUGGCCAACUAAGUCAGACGUGAAAUCCCUCGGCUUAACCGGGGAACUGCGUCUGAUACUGGGAGUCUGGAGUGCGGCAGAGGAGACUGGAAUUCCUGGUGUAGCAGUGAAAUGCGUAGAUAUCAGGAGGAACACCGAUGGCGAAGGCAGGUCUCUGGGCUGACACUGACGCUCAUGCACGAAAGCGUGGGGAGCAAACAGG
This 253-nucleotide ribosomal RNA is filed under the name uncultured bacterium. Its description in RNAcentral is "partial 16S ribosomal RNA". It matches the Rfam family "Bacterial small subunit ribosomal RNA", at positions 524 to 776 of the family's 1533-position model. The record is from RNAcentral.